UAAUUUCACCUUGUACACCACAGAAAAUUGUUAAAAUGAUGGUUAGUAGUUUUUUAUUUAUACCUAGUUAUCAUAAAUGAUUUCAGAUAAAUAUUAUUGAUAAAGAACAGCAAAAAUUCAAUAAAAUUUUCACUUUUAAAUGCAUUACUGGCACGGGGCUGAACACUUUUUUUUAGGCACAGUCAUAACUUUGUUUACCCCCGAGAGAUCCGAAAUGAAUUGUUUAUUCAAUUGAAAAAGGCAAGAAAAAACUUACAUGUAAUAUAAAUAAAUUGUAAGUAAACAUGACACAAUAUAGUCUUUGUUAUGCAAUUAUCACUCUGGUCUACAGGAAUAGCUUAUAAUCAAGGGAGAUAACACACUUCACACGAGUAAAGUGAGAUACAUCAUACAUGUGCUUUUAUCCAAUGAUUUGACCCUGGUCAGUAGAUAUCAUAUGCAAAUAAACAGAAAAAAAACCAUGUACAUGUAUUAAGAAAAUCACGAAUUACUAUUGUUAAUGCACACGAGCAAAACACAAGAUAUUGUCAUUUCUCAGUGAAAAAGGGGGAGGGUCAAACCUUCUUGAACACAAUAUUGCUAUUCAACUACAUGUAUUAAGCUAGUUAGCUACUACUCAUUGCUUCUAAUAUAAACAGUUUAAAUGAAGGUGUCUAAGCCACAAGGGAGAAGCAUUUUUCUUUCUUUGUGAUAACAUUUUCAAGAAUUAGAUUUUUCUCUCUCAAUAAUACUUAUGUAUUUAAAUUAAAUGAUAACACAGUUUGAGUUAAAUUUUUUUGUCUUAUUUCAGUUCCAGACAUAUCAUUACUUUUAAAUAUGAGAUGACAAACUAAAGGUUUUAAAAAGUCCUGAAUAACUGAAAUGGACAAAAAUACACAGAUUUAUUCAGAAUGUCAUACCGAUGAAGAUCACCUAAAAAUAUUUGGAAAAAUCAGAACUAUGGAUUUCAAUAUGGGACAAUACCCCUAAUGCGCCUUGAAAUGAGGAACACAAAAGUCACGUGUAAACAAAAAAUCUCUGUGUAGUGAUAUUUGACACAUUUCUAUGAUAAACAAAUAACUGAGCUGAACCAUUAGUGUUAAUUUAGAAAAUAAGGGAACACAGAAUAAAUGUGUAAAAACCAUGGAGCUAUGAAAUGUGUUCAAAGUAUUAAAAUUUCAAAGAACUUAUUGUGUUAAAAUUGGGAUUUUUUACCAUGAGGAGCGACAUCGCAAAAGGAUACUCGGGGUUUGCUAAAUUACGGAAAAAUGAAUCACACUUCGUACCCCGAAAAUUUAACCACAUAUGUAAACAUGUCGCAGCUUCGAAACAAGCCAUCAUACAUAUACAAGUUUACGAUAUGGGCUGAGCAACAGAAGAAAACGUUACCAUUACGGCCUAUGGAAUAACAAUUGCGCAUAUUGCCCCAUCUUGUGAGCUAGGAUCCAGAGAUAUGUUAAGCUAAUUUCACCUUGUACACCACAGAAAAUUGUUAAAAUGAUGGUUAGUAGUUUUUUAUUUAUACCUAGUUAUCAUAAAUGAUUUCAGAUAAAUAUUAUUGAUAAAGAACAGCAAAAAUUCAAUAAAAUUUUCACUUUUAAAUGCAUUACUGGCACGGGGCUGAACACUUUUUUUUAGGCACAGUCAUAACUUUGUUUACCCCCGAGAGAUCCGAAAUGAAUUGUUUAUUCAAUUGAAAAAGGCAAGAAAAAACUUACAUGUAAUAUAAAUAAAUUGUAAGUAAACAUGACACAAUAUAGUCUUUGUUAUGCAAUUAUCACUCUGGUCUACAGGAAUAGCUUAUAAUCAAGGGAGAUAACACACUUCACACGAGUAAAGUGAGAUACAUCAUACAUGUGCUUUUAUCCAAUGAUUUGACCCUGGUCAGUAGAUAUCAUAUGCAAAUAAACAGAAAAAAAACCAUGUACAUGUAUUAAGAAAAUCACGAAUUACUAUUGUUAAUGCACACGAGCAAAACACAAGAUAUUGUCAUUUCUCAGUGAAAAAGGGGGAGGGUCAAACCUUCUUGAACACAAUAUUGCUAUUCAACUACAUGUAUUAAGCUAGUUAGCUACUACUCAUUGCUUCUAAUAUAAACAGUUUAAAUGAAGGUGUCUAAGCCACAAGGGAGAAGCAUUUUUCUUUCUUUGUGAUAACAUUUUCAAGAAUUAGAUUUUUCUCUCUCAAUAAUACUUAUGUAUUUAAAUUAAAUGAUAACACAGUUUGAGUUAAAUUUUUUUGUCUUAUUUCAGUUCCAGACAUAUCAUUACUUUUAAAUAUGAGAUGACAAACUAAAGGUUUUAAAAAGUCCUGAAUAACUGAAAUGGACAAAAAUACACAGAUUUAUUCAGAAUGUCAUACCGAUGAAGAUCACCAC
Mytilus trossulus (common blue mussel) is the source of this 2356-nucleotide long non-coding RNA. RefSeq lists it as uncharacterized. The transcript has 3 exons. The record is from RefSeq and is a predicted model, not a curated record. Lineage: Eukaryota; Metazoa; Mollusca; Bivalvia; Mytilida; Mytilidae.